Molecule: ribosomal RNA, 756 nt
Filed under: uncultured bacterium
Lineage: Bacteria
Description: bacterial SSU rRNA
Rfam family: Bacterial small subunit ribosomal RNA
Source: RNAcentral
AGAGUUUGAUCCUGGCUCAGAAUCAACGCUGGCGGCGCGCCUAACACAUGCAAGUCGAACGAGAAAGUGGAGCAAUCCAUGAGUACAGUGGCGUACGGGUGAGUAACACGUGGGUAAUCUACCUUUUAGUGAGGAAUAACCCUGGGAAACCGGGGCUAAUACCGCAUAAGCCUGAGAAGGGAAAGUCGAAAGACGCUGAAAGAGGAGCCCGCGGCCGAUUAGCUAGUUGGUGAGGUAAGAGCCCACCAAGGCAGAGAUCGGUAGCCGGCCUGAGAGGGCACACGGCCACACUGGCACUGAAACACGGGCCAGACUCCUACGGGAGGCAGCAGUGGGGAAUCUUGCACAAUGGGGGAAACCCUGAUGCAGCGACGCCGCGUGAGCGAUGAAGCCCUUCGGGGUGUAAAGCUCUUUCGUCAGGGAAGAUAGUGACGGUACCUGGAGAAGCAGCUGCGGCUAACUGCGUGCCAGCAGCCGCGGUAAUACGUAGGCAGCAAGCGUUGUUCGGAGUUACUGGGCGUAAAGGGUGUGUAGGCGGUUCUUUAAGUUUGGUGUGAAAUCUCCCGGCUCAACCGGGAGGGUGCGCCGAAUACUGAGGGACUAGAGUGCGGGAGAGGAAAGUGGAAUUCCUGGUGUAGCGGUGAAAUGCGUAGAUAUCAGGAGGAACACCGGUGGUGUAGACGGCUUUCUGGACCGUAACUGACGCUGAGACACGAAAGCGUGGGUAGCAAACAGGAUUAGAUACCCUAGUAGUCC